GAUGAACGCUGGCGGCGUGCCUAAUACAUGCAAGUAGAACGCUGAAGGAAGGAGCUUGCUCUUUCCGGAUGAGUUGCGAACGGGUGAGUAACGCGUAGGUAACCUGCCUGGUAGCGGGGGAUAACUAUUGGAAACGAUAGCUAAUACCGCAUAACAGUAGAUGUUGCAUGAUAUCUACUUAAAAGGUGCAAUUGCACCACUACCAGAUGGACCUGCGUUGUAUUAGCUAGUUGGUGAGGUAACGGCUCACCAAGGCGACGAUACAUAGCCGACCUGAGAGGGUGAUCGGCCACACUGGGACUGAGACACGGCCCAGACUCCUACGGGAGGCAGCAGUAGGGAAUCUUCGGCAAUGGACGGAAGGCUGGCCGAGCAACGCCGCGUGAGUGAAGAAGGUUUUCGGAUCGUAAAGCUCUGUUGUAAGAGAAGAACGAGUGUGAGAGUGGAAAGUUCACACUGUGACGGUAUCUUACCAGAAAGGGACGGCUAACUACGUG
Molecule: ribosomal RNA, 497 nt
Filed under: uncultured bacterium
Lineage: Bacteria
Description: partial 16S ribosomal RNA
Rfam family: Bacterial small subunit ribosomal RNA
Source: RNAcentral